This 301-nucleotide ribosomal RNA is filed under the name uncultured bacterium. RNAcentral's name for it is "partial 16S ribosomal RNA". It matches the Rfam family "Bacterial small subunit ribosomal RNA", at positions 509 to 807 of the family's 1533-position model. The record is from RNAcentral.
CAGCCGCCGCGGUAAUACAGAGGGUGCGAGCGUUAAUCGGAUUUACUGGGCGUAAAGCGUGCGUAGGCGGCUUUUUAAGUCGGAUGUGAAAUCCCUGAGCUUAACUUAGGAAUUGCAUUCGAUACUGGGAAGCUAGAGUAUGGGAGAGGAUGGUAGAAUUCCAGGUGUAGCGGUGAAAUGCGUAGAGAUCGGGAGGAACAUCAGUGGCGAAGGCGGCCAUCUGGGACAACACUGACGCUGAGGCACGAAAGCGUGGGGAGCAAACAGGAUUAGAUACCCCGGUAGUCCCUGUCUCUUAUAC